GUGGGGAAUCUUAGACAAUGGGGGCAACCCUGAUCUAGCCAUGCCGCGUGAGUGAUGAAGGCCUUAGGGUCGUAAAGCUCUUUCGCUGGGGAAGAUAAUGACGGUACCCAGUAAAGAAACCCCGGCUAACUCCGUGCCAGCAGCCGCGGUAAUACGGAGGGGGUUAGCGUUGUUCGGAAUUACUGGGCGUAAAGCGCGCGUAGGCGGAUUGGAAAGUUGGGGGUGAAAUCCCGGGGCUGAACCCUGGAAUGGCCUUCAAAACUCCCAGUCUUGAGGUCGAGAGAGGUGAGUGGAAUUCCGAGUGUAGAGGUGAAAUUCGUAGAUAUUCGGAGGAACACCAGUGGCGAAGGCGGCUCACUGGCUCGAUACUGACGCUGAGGUGCGAAAGCGUGGGGAGCAAACAGGAUUAGAUACCCCAGUAGUCC
RNAcentral lists this ribosomal RNA (425 nucleotides) under uncultured bacterium. RNAcentral's name for it is "partial 16S ribosomal RNA". It matches the Rfam family "Bacterial small subunit ribosomal RNA", at positions 354 to 796 of the family's 1533-position model. The record is from RNAcentral.